This 662-nucleotide ribosomal RNA is filed under the name Salmonella enterica. RNAcentral's name for it is "partial 23S ribosomal RNA". It matches the Rfam family "Bacterial large subunit ribosomal RNA", at positions 1 to 596 of the family's 2925-position model. The record is from RNAcentral. Lineage: Bacteria; Pseudomonadati; Pseudomonadota; Gammaproteobacteria; Enterobacterales; Enterobacteriaceae.
GGGUUGUGAGGUUAAGCGACUAAGCGUACACGGUGGAUGCCCUGGCAGUCAGAGGCGAUGAAGGACGUGCUAAUCUGCGAUAAGCGCCGGUAAGGUGAUAUGAACCGUUAUAACCGGCGAUUUCCGAAUGGGGAAACCCAGUGUGACUCGUCACACUAUCAUUAACUGAAUCCAUAGGUUAAUGAGGCGAACCGGGGGAACUGAAACAUCUAAGUACCCCGAGGAAAAGAAAUCAACCGAGAUUCCCCCAGUAGCGGCGAGCGAACGGGGAGGAGCCCAGAGCCUGAAUCAGCAUGUGUGUUAGUGGAAGCGUCUGGAAAGGCGCGCGAUACAGGGUGACAGCCCCGUACACAAAAGCGCAUAUGCUGUGAGCUCGAUGAGUAGGGCGGGACACGUGGUAUCCUGUCUGAAUAUGGGGGGACCAUCCUCCAAGGCUAAAUACUCCUGACUGACCGAUAGUGAACCAGUACCGUGAGGGAAAGGCGAAAAGAACCCCGGCGAGGGGAGUGAAAAAGAACCUGAAACCGUGUACGUACAAGCAGUGGGAGCCCCACCACCAAAGCAUUCUCUGGUGUUGAAGGCCCUGCAAAGCAGCAUCGCGGUGGCGGAGCGUCGUUUGCGACGCCCAACACACAAAACAAGCGGUGAAUGCUUUGGGGUGG